AUGUUAUCAAAUAUAGUAGUAGUACUAUAUUAAAUUAACGUUAUCAAAUUAACGUAAUUAAAAUUUUAUGAAAUUAACGUUAUUAAAAAGUUAUUAAAUUAACGAGGGGCGGACCUACGUGGUUUCCAUGGGGUUCACCCAAACCCCCUUGGUAAAAAAAUUACGUUGUGUAUAUAUAUAUAUAUAUAUAUAUAUAUACAUAUAAGAUAGAAAAUAUAUAUUUAUGUACGUAUAUUAAUGUUGAACCACAUGAAACAAGACACUUAGAUAGCCCAGUGGUGUUAUUUGCUCUUCUUGGGCGCUUCCUUCAGCCUAUUGUGCGGGUUCGAUCCUGCUAGUAGCUGUUUUUUUUUAAAUUAAAAAAAAAAGCUAAGUGCUGCUGCUAUAGAAAUAAAUAAAAUAAUAAUAAUAAUAAUUUUUUAAAAUUAAAAAAAAGUUAGGUGCUUCUACUAUAGAAAUAUAUAAAUAAUAAUAAUAAUAAUAAAAACGACGUCGUUUUAACACAAAAAACAAAACUUUGACAGUGCACAAAUAUGAUCUUUAACUAUUCAAAACUGCACAAAUAUGACCUCUCUCCAUGUCAUCCCUUUUAACGACGUGGCACCAUGUGAUUGGAUUACCUUUUCACGUAGGCGCGAGUGAGACUCACGCAUGGGGUUACAAAAUCGGAGGUGAUAUUUGUUUAGGUUUUGAAUAGUUAAAAGUCCUAUUUGUGCACUAUCAAAGUUUAAGAUCAAAGUUAUAAUUUGGUGUCAAAUUUAGGGUCAUUUUUAUGUAUUAACUCAAAAAAAAAAAAGACUACUUGAAAUCAUCAUUGAAUUUAAAAUCAUUAGUAUCAGAUUUUACUAUAUAUUUUUUUUUGAGAAAAGAGUCUACUAACAACAAAUUUCAAAAUCUAUCAAAAAACUUUGAAUCAAUUGGGUCAAUAAAUUUUGAAUAUCAGAUAAACAUAUAUAAAACAGAUUUUGGGAAUACAAAUUACACAUAAGAGAUUCCAUGGACCAAAUGAUAUCCUCAGUGCAUCAUUUAGAGCAAACAUAAUUUCUAAAUAUUCUUUGUGCCAAUUAUGGGUCAUUGUCUUAGAAAAAGAAGAAUAAUAUGUACAAAUGAAUGGAUCCAACCAAACACCUAAUCUAAAUCCAUAGACAAAAGAGGGAAUCAAUUAACACCUAACACUAGUUUCUGUUUCGUCAUUUUCUACAAGAUUUGGAAGAACAUUUUUUUAAAAAUCCAACAAAAUAGACAACAAACCAAAAAUUCAAGAUAAAUAAAUAGAUAAAUACGCACCUUUUGUGGUGCAGCUAAACUGGAGCUCCGACGUCAAGGUUCUCUGGCGGAUUCAACUCCAAGGAUUUCGAUUACCUGUGCUCUAAUUUGCUCUACUUUCACUCUUUUUAACACUAGUUUUUCAUUCUCUUUCUUCUAAUUUUCGACCUUCAAAAUUUGUUCCCAAAUUCUUUUCUAAAAAAAAACUUCAUUGUCUUUUUUUUCAAGUUUUCCCUUUUUCCGAUUUUCCACCCCUUUCUCUUAGAUCUUCAACCCUUUUUUUUCGCUCUUGUUAAACACCCCCAUUUUUUUUUUUAUCUUCUUCUGAUUCUUUCUAGUUUUUCCCCAGCCUGAAACUUCUCAAGAUCUUUUAAACACACUUUUUUUUUCUUAAUCUUGAACCCCUUUUCUGUUUUUCCAACCCUUCCCUCAAUGGGUGAAGAACACCCAUAUUUAUAGGUGCCAAACCCGAACUUCAAAGUCCGGAUUUGAAACCUUGAAAUAAAAAAAUAGGAAGGAGGGAGGAUGAAAAAUUUUAAUUCAACAAAAGGAUCUUCCAAAUCUCAGCUCUUUCCAUGCCAUUCAUGGCGGACUAGAAAAUGAAAGCCUAUUAUAACACCAAUUUGGGUCUAUUUUUCCCUGAUCUUGAAGGAUUCGUGAAUUGGAGGGUCGAUUUUAGAGAUAUUUUCGCAGGGUAGCGACCGGCGGCCAGCUAGCCAUAGGAGUGCUAGGGUUACGGUUUUGGUUUAAGGGAGAAGGGGAGAAAGAAGAGAGAGAAAAAGAGUUUUUGUUUUUGUGUUGAUUUGGGAAAGGAGAUGGAGAGAAGACGACGGUUUUUGUGGGAAAAGAGCAAUACGUGUGCCUCUGCUUUGGCAGACACGUUAUUUAUUGCAUUGGUUUGAAAAAAUAUUGACUAAUUUUGAUCCGUC
Molecule: long non-coding RNA, 2195 nt
Filed under: Capsicum annuum
Lineage: Eukaryota; Viridiplantae; Streptophyta; Magnoliopsida; Solanales; Solanaceae
Description: long non-coding RNA (CANN_LNC004293)
Source: RNAcentral